GGUUAACGCUAGCGGUGCGCCUAACACAUGCAAGUCGAGCGAUGAAUUUUCUUCGGAAAUGGAUUAGCGGCGAACGGGUGAGGAACACGUGAAGAAUCUGCCCUCCACUUUGGGAUAACACAGGGAAACCUGUGCUAAUACCGAAUAUUGAAACAUAAGUCGCAUCACUGAGUUUUGAAAGACUUUCGGUGGAGGAUGCCUUCGCGGCCUAUCAGCUAGUUGGUGAGGUAAUGGCUCACCAAGGAAACGACGGGUAGCCGGCCUGGGAGGGCGACCGGCCACACUGGGACUGGGACACGGUCCAGACUCCUACGAGAGGCAGCAGUGGGGAAUAUUGGGCAAUGGAGGAAACUCUGACCCAGCGACGCCGCGUGCGGGAUGAAGGCCUUCGGGUUGUAAACCGCUUUCAGUAGGUAAGAAGCGAAAGUGACGGUACCUACAAAAGAAGCACCGGCUAACUAUGUGCCAGCCGCCGCCGUAA
Molecule: ribosomal RNA, 481 nt
Filed under: uncultured bacterium
Lineage: Bacteria
Description: partial 16S ribosomal RNA
Rfam family: Bacterial small subunit ribosomal RNA
Source: RNAcentral